Lolium perenne is the source of this 1548-nucleotide long non-coding RNA. RefSeq lists it as uncharacterized. NCBI's taxonomy places the organism in Eukaryota, Viridiplantae, Streptophyta, Magnoliopsida, Poales, Poaceae. The record is from RefSeq and is a predicted model, not a curated record.
UUCGAGCCGCCGCCCGCCGUCACCUGGAGAGGGGAUAAGCACCACAGCGCCCUCCUUAUAUCUCCCCUCGUCCUCAUCCUUCCGGUCUCUCUAUCUCUCCCGCAAAAUCCCCAGGGAGACCAAACCCUAGCCCCCACAGUCUCCGUCCAUCGCCGCCACUCCGAGCAUCCCCUCGUCCGGCCGAGCAUCCCUGGAGCUCCACCUAGCCUCCCUGAGCCCUCUGUACGAAGGAAUCGAGCUCCCUCGACGUGGUUCGUCGCCGACGAGCUCGCCCGCCCGACGUCGGGUCGCCGUCGAUUCGGUCGAUUCCGACCUCAACGACACCACCGAAGCGCUCACGAGCAAGUGCCCGAGACGAUGAAGAUUGACAACGACGCAACUCAAUAAUUGUCCAUCGACGAACAAGUCAAGCAUGGGAUCUCCGAAGAUCCACAUUGGUUUGUCAGGGACAAAGGCAAGCCCUAGCCUGGUUCAUAUUAUGAUUUUGAAAUGCUUUUACUUCUGGUUCCUACAUAUUGCAUACACUUUCCAAUAUGUUUUAUCGGCAGAUAUAGUUAUCCUAUGUGUGUUCAUUUAUCAUCCUUGUAGCCUAAAUACUCUGAUCCACUGCUCCCAGCAAGACUAGGUUUGAGCUAUGUGUGCAUCGCUACAGCCAUUAUAUCGAAUAUGCUUAGCCAUGCUUAGUUGACGAAUUUUGAUCCAUCCGGUUGAUGAAUCAGAGCUGCGAAUGAACCUAGUAAGAUAGGAUGACGUGGUAAGAUCGGUGAUGAUAAUAAACUAGUUAAAGGCUUGGAUGGGCCGCCACAUGGGGAUGUGGUGAUUUGACUUGUUCUCGCCGAUACUAGGAGCUGAGUUCUCGCCUUCGGAACCAAGACUGAGCGUACAACCACACGGGGCCCAUGGGAACCCUGAUACGUCUUCAACGUAUCUAUAAUUUCUUAUGUUUCAUGCUACUUUUAUGAUGAUACACACAUGUUUUAUACACACUUUAUGUCAUAUUUAUGCAUUUUCCGGCACUAACCUAUUGACAAGAUGCCGAAGAGCCGAUUCUUGUUUCUACUUGUUUUGGUUUCAGAAAUCCUACAAAGAAAAUAUUCUCGGAAUUGGACGAAAUCAAUGCCCAGGGUCUUAUUUUUCCACGAAGCUUCCAGAAGACCGGAUGAGAUACGAAGUGGGGCCACGAGGUGGCGCCACACUAAGGCGGUGCGACCAGGCCAGGGCCCGUGCCGCCCUGUUGUGUGGGCCCCUCGUGACGCCCCCUGACCUACCCUUCCGCAAUCUAUCAUAUAUGUGUUGUUUAUGAUCUUGCAUGCUCUCCGUUGCUAGUAGAGGUUCUGGCCAAGUUGAUACUUGUAACUCCAAGAGGGAGUAUUUAUGCUCGAUAGUGGGUUCAUGCCUCCAUUUAAUCUGGGACAAUGACAGAAAGUUCUAAGGUUGUGGAUGUAUUGUUGCCACUAGGGAUAAAACAUCAAUGCUUUAUCUAAGGAUAUUUGUGUUGAUUACAUUACGCACCAUACUUAAUGCAAUUGUCUGUUGUUUGCAACUUAA